CACGUAGGGGGCAAGCGUUGUCCGGAUUUAUUGGGCGUAAAGAGCUCGUAGGCGGUUCGGUAAGUCGGGUGUGAAACCUCCAGGCUCAACCUGGAGACGCCACCCGAUACUGCUGUGACUAGAGUCCGGUAGGGGAGCGUGGAAUUCCUGGUGUAGCGGUGAAAUGCGCAGAUAUCAGGAAGAACACCCGUGGCGAAAGCGGCUCUCUGGAACGGUACUGACGCUGAGACGCGAAAGCGUGGGGAGCGAACAGG
RNAcentral lists this ribosomal RNA (254 nucleotides) under uncultured bacterium. Its description in RNAcentral is "partial 16S ribosomal RNA". It matches the Rfam family "Bacterial small subunit ribosomal RNA", at positions 524 to 776 of the family's 1533-position model. The record is from RNAcentral.